GUUCCUCUAACACACUGCCUCCCAUGUGCUGGCCUUGGACCCUGGGAGGGCUGAAGGGUUACUGCAGUAGGUGUAGGAAGCCACAAGCACAUCCAGCACCACAAUUUUUCAAAUGUUUCCAGAUGCUUCUGGGAUGAAUAAAAUAAAAAUCCAAGAGCUAUUGAUUCACGGUCGUUGUAUCAACAGCAUUGUGGGAGGCUUCUCUUCAACUUUCAAAGACUUCUUUUCUGUAAGAACUAAGCUCCUUCCCCCAAUAGAAACUGGCCCCUGGUUUCCGGCCCGUGUUUGUGCCACAUGAGCCCCUUCUCCCCAGUCUCAGUGAAUUGGAUCCAGGGCAGACACCUUGCCUAAGCUCAGCCAACUUCAAGUUUCUCCCUUUUAGAAACUUGAAAUUGGAAUUCAAAGAUAGCUUUUUGGUGCAGGUGAGUGGCCCUGUGAUAAUAUGUAACCAGGAACUGCGGGAUGGUACCACCUCCUCUUCACCCCAAUUUCAGCAUGGGAAGCAGGGAUGCAGGGGGGAAAGAGUGUUGCGAGUACAUGAAAUAGAAACUGAGGCAAUGCACAGUCAGACCCUGACUGCUCUCCGGCUCUGGCUUUUACCUCCCAGCAUUGCCUCUGAGUAUCCUAGAAGUCUUUCCAAUACGUUAAAAAUUGAUCAUGGUAGCUCAUGCUGGUUUCCAUAAUUUCAAAAAAAGAAAACUUUGACAAAAGUCACUUCUUGAUAUUAUAUAUUUUCUGAAUAAUGGAUAUUAAAAUAAAAUGGUUAUUAUGGGAGAUCUUGAUUUUUAUACAUGAUAAGGGUGUCAAUGCUUAAUAAGAAUGAUUUAGAAGGUUGAGAGUCCCUGCUUUAGCUAAAAAUCCUCCAGAGAAAGAAAUGCAUCAGUUACAGAAGAUAAUUCAUGCAAAGCACUCAGCUCAGCAUCCUUCACAGAUUAAGUACUCAAUAAGGAUUAGCAACUAUUUUCUUCACCACUUACAGACUCAUGACCAAUACUCACAAUGACCAAGUCUGAAAAGACCUUCCUAAAAUCUUGUUUAGACUGAACUGCCAUGAUUAGAGCAUACCCUCCUCACCCCGAAGAUCUUUGCAGCCACAGUGUACCUGCCCUGCUUUUAGGAGUAGAAGGAGCACGCACUGGAAUUGGUUGUGGAUGGGACUGGUCUCAUAAGCAUCACCUAGAGAAUGUUUCGAAUUAAAAAUUUCCCAGGCCCUCUCCGAGACCCAUCGAAUAGAAGCUCCACGGGAGGAACCUAAGAAGCUAUGGCUUUAACAAAUGCUCCAAGUGAUUCUCAUCAUCAGGGAAGGGUGGGAAACACUGACAUAUGAGGAUUAUAAAACCCAUCUCUAAGUGGACAAGCCACAGGUCUGGGGAGAUGUCUUACAUGCAAAACAAAUCAUACCAUGCUUUUCAACCUUAGGUGCAUUUCUGUUUGCACAACUACCAAGUAUUCAAUUGUCCAUCUUACCCAUCCCCUUUGCAACAGUACCAAGAUUUCAAUUCCUUUUCGUCUUCUUUCCCACUAAGCCCAAGUGCUGCUGGAAAGCUGACCCCCUAUUACCAGGUCCGGGGUGAACCCUGAUUAAAUCAAACCGGUCAAGUAUAUUACAUUUCCUGGGUCAAAUGUGGAUACAUACCCCAAGCAAGUCUGAUUGGGGAAAUUUUAGAACCUGUUGCUUAGAAGGUGUCUUAGUUCAUUUGUGUUGUGAUAACAGAAUAUUUGAGGCUAGGUAAUUUAUACAGAAAAAAAAAAAAAA
Molecule: long non-coding RNA, 1756 nt
Organism: Macaca fascicularis (crab-eating macaque)
Lineage: Eukaryota; Metazoa; Chordata; Mammalia; Primates; Cercopithecidae
Source: Ensembl